Non-coding RNA from Pelobates cultripes (western spadefoot toad), 93 nucleotides. The record is from the annotation of a GenBank genome assembly. Lineage: Eukaryota; Metazoa; Chordata; Amphibia; Anura; Pelobatidae.
GUGUCUGUAUGUGUGUGUGUCUGUAUGUGUUUGUCUCUAUAUGUAUUUGUCUGUUUCAUACAGACACACACACAUACAGACACAUACAGAUUG